Molecule: ribosomal RNA, 492 nt
Filed under: uncultured bacterium
Lineage: Bacteria
Description: partial 16S ribosomal RNA
Rfam family: Bacterial small subunit ribosomal RNA
Source: RNAcentral
AGUGAACGCUGGCGGUAGGCCUAACACAUGCAAGUCGAACGGCAGCACAGUAAGAGCUUGCUCUUACGGGUGGCGAGUGGCGGACGGGUUAGGAAUACAUCGGAAUCUACUUUUUCGUGGGGGAUAACGUAGGGAAACUUACUCUAAUACCGCAUACGACCUACGGGUGAAAGCAGGGGAUCUUCGGACCUUGCGCGAUUGAAUGAGCCGAUGUCGGAUUAGCUAGUUGGCGGGGUAAAGGCCCACCAAGGCGACGAUCCGUAGAUGGUCUGAGAGGAUGAUCAGCCACACUGGAACUGAGACACGGUACAGACUCCUACGGGAGGCAGAAGUGGGGAAUAUUGGACAAUGGGCGCAAGCCUGAUCCAGCCAUACCGCGUGGGUGAAGAAGGACUUCGGGUUGUAAAGCCCUUUUGUUGGGAAAGAAAAGCAGCAGGUUAAUACCCCGCUGUUCUGACGGUACCCAAAGAAUAAGCACCGGCUAACUUCGUG